Molecule: long non-coding RNA, 276 nt
Filed under: Brassica napus (rape)
Lineage: Eukaryota; Viridiplantae; Streptophyta; Magnoliopsida; Brassicales; Brassicaceae
Description: long non-coding RNA (BNAP_LNC005236)
Source: RNAcentral
AAGCUCAUGGAGCUUUCAACUUCGAAGUCUCCUUCUCCAAGCUUCUCAUGCUUCACCUUUUGCCAGAAAUAUCAUCUAAUAUGGCAUUCACGUGGUGCUUUGCUUUCUCAACUCCUGCCUCUCUAGCCAAGGCUUCCUGCCUCUUUACAGUGUAUGCAGUCUGAACCACUUUCAUUUCAAGCUUCCUCACCUGAGUCCCUAAGGUCUCAAUCUUUGUGUUCAGACUGUUGUAGGCGGAAUCUAUCUUUCCAUUGAAAUCCACAGUGAGUUGUUGCU